AUUUGCAUGUAAAGCUUUAAUGAUCAAACAGCAGUUGAAAAUAACAAAUUCUAUUUUAUGCGAAGGAAAAUCUAGAAGAGAAAAAAAAAGAUAUAGUAUAAUCAAUGAUUUGAAAUAAUCAGUUUAAUGAAUAGAUUAUCUCUUGAGAGAAAUAAAGAAAAAGUUGGUUAUGUUCAUAUUAUGAAAUUUGAUGAAAUGCUAGGUUAAAAUUGAACGAGGCCAAAAUAAAAUCCUGUAAAAGGAUUCGUCCAACUUUUCGCGGCCAAUUGCGGGGAAUUAGGGUGAACGAGUGAUGAUAUAGAUAUAUAGAAGAGGAAAUUUGAGCGGAUUAGAGGAAAUUAGGGGAUCAAGAAGAAGAGAGAGAAUUAUAUAGGCAUGGUGAAGGAUCUCGUGAUCAAUGCAAGUACAAAAGACGAGAUAUUCGGAGAAUAUUAAAUUUGCCUGCCAUCUUCAGUAAAAUAAAUCUAAUAAUAUAGAGGAUGAAGCAUAUCAGGAUUAAAUAAAUUUCUAUUAAAUAAAUUUAUUAUUUCA
Apis dorsata (giant honeybee) is the source of this 531-nucleotide long non-coding RNA. RefSeq lists it as uncharacterized. The transcript has 2 exons. NCBI's taxonomy places the organism in Eukaryota, Metazoa, Arthropoda, Insecta, Hymenoptera, Apidae. The record is from RefSeq and is a predicted model, not a curated record.